RNAcentral lists this ribosomal RNA (1475 nucleotides) under uncultured bacterium. Its description in RNAcentral is "bacterial SSU rRNA". It matches the Rfam family "Bacterial small subunit ribosomal RNA". The record is from RNAcentral.
GAGAGUUUGAUCCUGGCUCAGGACGAACGCUGGCGGCACGCUUAACACAUGCAAGUCGAACGAGAGAAGAGGAGCUUGCUUUUCUGAUCUAGUGGCGGACGGGUGAGUAACACGUGAGCAAUCUGCCUUUCAGAGGGGGAUACCGAUUGGAAACGAUCGUUAAUACCGCAUAACAUAAUUGAACCGCAUGAUUUGAUUAUCAAAGAUUUAUCGCUGAAAGAUGAGCUCGCGUCUGAUUAGCUAGUUGGUAAGGUAACGGCUUACCAAGGCGACGAUCAGUAGCCGGACUGAGAGGUUGAUCGGCCACAUUGGGACUGAGACACGGCCCAGACUCCUACGGGAGGCAGCAGUGGGGAAUAUUGCACAAUGGAGGAAACUCUGAUGCAGCGAUGCCGCGUGAGGGAAGAAGGUUUUAGGAUUGUAAACCUCUGUCUUCAGGGACGAAAAAAGACGGUACCUGAGGAGGAAGCUCCGGCUAACUACGUGCCAGCAGCCGCGGUAAUACGUAGGGAGCGAGCGUUGUCCGGAAUUACUGGGUGUAAAGGGAGCGUAGGCGGGAUCGCAAGUCAGAUGUGAAAACUAUGGGCUUAACCCAUAAACUGCAUUUGAAACUGUGGUUCUUGAGUGAAGUAGAGGUAAGCGGAAUUCCUAGUGUAGCGGUGAAAUGCGCAGAUAUUAGGAGGAACAUCAGUGGCGAAGGCGGCUUACUGGGCUUUAACUGACGCUGAGGCUCGAAAGCGUGGGGAGCAAACAGGAUUAGAUACCCUGGUAGUCCACGCCGUAAACGAUGAUUACUAGGUGUGGGGGGACUGACCCCUUCCGUGCCGCAGCAAACGCAAUAAGUAAUCCACCUGGGGAGUACGACCGCAAGGUUGAAACUCAAAGGAAUUGACGGGGGCCCGCACAAGCAGUGGAGUAUGUGGAUUAAUUCGAAGCAACGCGAAGAACCUUACCAGGUCUUGACAUCGUAUGCAUAGCUCAGAGAUGAGUGAAAUCUCUUCGGAGACAUAUAGACAGGUGGUGCAUGGUUGUCGUCAGCUCGUGUCGUGAGAUGUUGGGUUAAGUCCCGCAACGAGCGCAACCCUUACUGUUAGUUGCUACGCAAGAGCACUCUAGCAGGACUGCCGUUGACAAAACGGAGGAAGGUGGGGAUGACGUCAAAUCAUCAUGCCCCUUAUGACCUGGGCCUCACACGUACUACAAUGGCUGUAAACAGAGGGAUGCAAAGCCGCGAGGUGGAGCGAACCCCUAAAAGCAGUCUUAGUUCGGAUUGUAGGCUGCAACCCGCCUACAUGAAGUCGGAAUUGCUAGUAAUCGCAGAUCAGCAUGCUGCGGUGAAUACGUUCCCGGGCCUUGUACACACCGCCCGUCACGCCAUGGGAGUCGGUAACACCCGAAGCCUGUAGUCUAACCGCAAGGAGGACGCAGUCGAAGGUGGGAUUGAUGACUGGGGUGAAGUCGUAACAAGGUAGCCG